CAAACUAUCAGUACCGCAGUAUGUCAUAUCUCUUUCUCUUCAGAUAACAUAAGCCAAAUAUCAAUAUUUUUUAUGACAACAGGUGGGCCAUCCAAACAGAUUCCCCUGAUUUGUGUUAACAUAGUCCAUACUUAUUAACUCCUCACUGUGUAAACUUCUGUAAACUAAAUUAACACGUAUUGAAGAGAAUAUAGUGUAUCAUAGUUGUAUCCGUCCUUUAAAAAAUUUAACAAAACUGUUCUACUUUCUGGCAGUUCAGCUCUUGCCACUUUAAAGCAAUUUUACAUUGGAGUGAUGUGACACAUGGACAUGGAGAAGCUGCAGUCAGUGAUAAAGAGGCACUAAGCUGAGACCUUAUGUACUUCUUGCACAUUGCUUCAUCUAACUACAUUCCUAGAUACAUUUUGUCCUGGAAAGAGAAGCUGUGAAGUUACUGCUGUUGAGUAAGAGGGAACUGUAAAUCUAGUGUUAAGCAUUCUGAGAGGAAGGUUAGCUGUAAUAUUUAAUCUUGCCUAGAUACUUUUGGGGUAAACUGUUGUGAUUCUGUUGAACAGAGUAUUGACAGGCAGUUUCACCCAAGUCACCUGAGAACAAUAGGCUUAGGAGCAGGGUGGAGCCAAGUCAGCAAAAAAAUAGCAGCCAGUGCUCACCUGUUCAGAUACAUUUUGUCCAGGAAAGAGAAGCUGUGACAUUACUGCUGAAACAUGGCUCCAGGAAAAUAUCCCAGAUGCGGCCAUACAGCUGGAGGCGAUGACGACUUUCUAAGUGAAAAGAGAUGCAGCUACCGCUGGUAAAAGUAGAGGAGGGGGCCUGUGCACCUAUAUUAACAAAGACUGGUGUGAAUCAUGGGGUGGAGCCUCUACCUAUAAGAGCAGGUCUUCCUGCAGUGUUUGGGCUCUCUCUCAUCUCAGGGGUGCUUCCAUGCCACCUGUCGCGCCUGCCAUUUUCCUGCUUUUGUUUUGUUUUCACAUUUUUGGUUUCCUUUAAAUUCCCUGUUUAAUACCAUUUUGGUGAAUAAAUACCCCUAGACAUGUGUUCCUUUU
Long non-coding RNA from Acanthopagrus latus (yellowfin seabream), 1043 nucleotides. RefSeq lists it as uncharacterized. The record is from RefSeq and is a predicted model, not a curated record. The transcript is spliced from 3 exons. Lineage: Eukaryota; Metazoa; Chordata; Actinopteri; Spariformes; Sparidae.